This 2906-nucleotide ribosomal RNA is filed under the name Escherichia coli. Its description in RNAcentral is "23S ribosomal RNA". It matches the Rfam family "Bacterial large subunit ribosomal RNA". Lineage: Bacteria; Pseudomonadati; Pseudomonadota; Gammaproteobacteria; Enterobacterales; Enterobacteriaceae. The record is from RNAcentral.
GGUUAAGCGACUAAGCGUACACGGUGGAUGCCCUGGCAGUCAGAGGCGAUGAAGGACGUGCUAAUCUGCGAUAAGCGUCGGUAAGGUGAUAUGAACCGUUAUAACCGGCGAUUUCCGAAUGGGGAAACCCAGUGUGAUUCGUCACACUAUCAUUAACUGAAUCCAUAGGUUAAUGAGGCGAACCGGGGGAACUGAAACAUCUAAGUACCCCGAGGAAAAGAAAUCAACCGAGAUUCCCCCAGUAGCGGCGAGCGAACGGGGAGGAGCCCAGAGCCUGAAUCAGUGUGUGUGUUAGUGGAAGCGUCUGGAAAGGCGCGCGAUACAGGGUGACAGCCCCGUACACAAAAAUGCACAUGCUGUGAGCUCGAUGAGUAGGGCGGGACACGUGGUAUCCUGUCUGAAUAUGGGGGGACCAUCCUCCAAGGCUAAAUACUCCUGACUGACCGAUAGUGAACCAGUACCGUGAGGGAAAGGCGAAAAGAACCCCGGCGAGGGGAGUGAAAAAGAACCUGAAACCGUGUACGUACAAGCAGUGGGAGCACAGAGCAAUCUGUGUGACUGCGUACCUUUUGUAUAAUGGGUCAGCGACUUAUAUUCUGUAGCAAGGUUAACCGAAUAGGGGAGCCGAAGGGAAACCGAGUCUUAACUGGGCGUUAAGUUGCAGGGUAUAGACCCGAAACCCGGUGAUCUAGCCAUGGGCAGGUUGAAGGUUGGGUAACACUAACUGGAGGACCGAACCGACUAAUGUUGAAAAAUUAGCGGAUGACUUGUGGCUGGGGGUGAAAGGCCAAUCAAACCGGGAGAUAGCUGGUUCUCCCCGAAAGCUAUUUAGGUAGCGCCUCGUGAAUUCAUCUCCGGGGGUAGAGCACUGUUUCGGCAAGGGGGUCAUCCCGACUUACCAACCCGAUGCAAACUACGAAUACCGGAGAAUGUUAUCACGGGAGACACACGGCGGGUGCUAACGUCCGUCGUGAAGAGGGAAACAACCCAGACCGCCAGCUAAGGUCCCAAAGUCAUGGUUAAGUGGGAAACGAUGUGGGAAGGCCCAGACAGCCAGGAUGUUGGCUUAGAAGCAGCCAUCAUUUAAAGAAAGCGUAAUAGCUCACUGGUCGAGUCGGCCUGCGCGGAAGAUGUAACGGGGCUAAACCAUGCACCGAAGCUGCGGCAGCGACGCUUAUGCGUUGUUGGGUAGGGGAGCGUUCUGUAAGCCUGUGAAGGUGUGCUGUGAGGCAUGCUGGAGGUAUCAGAAGUGCGAAUGCUGACAUAAGUAACGAUAAAGCGGGUGAAAAGCCCGCUCGCCGGAAGACCAAGGGUUCCUGUCCAACGUUAAUCGGGGCAGGGUGAGUCGACCCCUAAGGCGAGGCCGAAAGGCGUAGUCGAUGGGAAACAGGUUAAUAUUCCUGUACUUGGUGUUACUGCGAAGGGGGGACGGAGAAGGCUAUGUUGGCCGGGCGACGGUUGUCCCGGUUUAAGCGUGUAGGCUGGUUUUCCAGGCAAAUCCGGAAAAUCAAGGCUGAGGCGUGAUGACGAGGCACUACGGUGCUGAAGCAACAAAUGCCCUGCUUCCAGGAAAAGCCUCUAAGCAUCAGGUAACAUCAAAUCGUACCCCAAACCGACACAGGUGGUCAGGUAGAGAAUACCAAGGCGCUUGAGAGAACUCGGGUGAAGGAACUAGGCAAAAUGGUGCCGUAACUUCGGGAGAAGGCACGCUGAUAUGUAGGUGAAGUCCCUCGCGGAUGGAGCUGAAAUCAGUCGAAGAUACCAGCUGGCUGCAACUGUUUAUUAAAAACACAGCACUGUGCAAACACGAAAGUGGACGUAUACGGUGUGACGCCUGCCCGGUGCCGGAAGGUUAAUUGAUGGGGUUAGCGCAAGCGAAGCUCUUGAUCGAAGCCCCGGUAAACGGCGGCCGUAACUAUAACGGUCCUAAGGUAGCGAAAUUCCUUGUCGGGUAAGUUCCGACCUGCACGAAUGGCGUAAUGAUGGCCAGGCUGUCUCCACCCGAGACUCAGUGAAAUUGAACUCGCUGUGAAGAUGCAGUGUACCCGCGGCAAGACGGAAAGACCCCGUGAACCUUUACUAUAGCUUGACACUGAACAUUGAGCCUUGAUGUGUAGGAUAGGUGGGAGGCUUUGAAGUGUGGACGCCAGUCUGCAUGGAGCCGACCUUGAAAUACCACCCUUUAAUGUUUGAUGUUCUAACGUUGACCCGUAAUCCGGGUUGCGGACAGUGUCUGGUGGGUAGUUUGACUGGGGCGGUCUCCUCCUAAAGAGUAACGGAGGAGCACGAAGGUUGGCUAAUCCUGGUCGGACAUCAGGAGGUUAGUGCAAUGGCAUAAGCCAGCUUGACUGCGAGCGUGACGGCGCGAGCAGGUGCGAAAGCAGGUCAUAGUGAUCCGGUGGUUCUGAAUGGAAGGGCCAUCGCUCAACGGAUAAAAGGUACUCCGGGGAUAACAGGCUGAUACCGCCCAAGAGUUCAUAUCGACGGCGGUGUUUGGCACCUCGAUGUCGGCUCAUCACAUCCUGGGGCUGAAGUAGGUCCCAAGGGUAUGGCUGUUCGCCAUUUAAAGUGGUACGCGAGCUGGGUUUAGAACGUCGUGAGACAGUUCGGUCCCUAUCUGCCGUGGGCGCUGGAGAAUUGAGGGGGGCUGCUCCUAGUACGAGAGGACCGGAGUGGACGCAUCACUGGUGUUCGGGUUGUCAUGCCAAUGGCACUGCCCGGUAGCUAAAUGCGGAAGAGAUAAGUGCUGAAAGCAUCUAAGCACGAAACUUGCCCCGAGAUGAGUUCUCCCUGACUCCUUGAGAGUCCUGAAGGAACGUUGAAGACGACGACGUUGAUAGGCCGGGUGUGUAAGCGCAGCGAUGCGUUGAGCUAACCGGUACUAAUGAACCGUGAGGCUUAACCUU